GCCGUGUGGAGGUGAACCAUCGGGUGUCAUUUCCUGGCUCAGGGUCAGUGGUUACCUGGAACACGUCUGCCCAGAGGAUGAAUGGGAGCAUGUGAAGCCCUAAGUUCUGAGUCAGACCAGGCACACCCCCACUUUAUUCAUGCUCCACUGGUGGCCAAAACAAGGAAGAUUAGCCCUGAGCUAACAUCUGCCGCCAAUCCUCUUUUUGGCUGAGGAAGACUAGCCCUGAGCCAACAUCCGUGCCCAUCUUCCUCUACUUUAUAUGUGGGACGCCUGCUACAGCAUGGCUUGACAAGCGGCGUGUAGGUUUGCAUCCAGGAUCUGAACCAGUGAACCCUGGUCCGCUGGCCCCUAUAUACAUUUUUUUAAUAUAUUCUUAAUAAAAGUCCUUGAUGAGGUUGUGAUUUGCAAAUAUUGUGUCCCAAUCUGUGGCUUGCCUUUUCGUUUUCUUAACCACGUUAUUUGAAGAGUAGAUGUUUCUAAUUUGAUAAAGUCUAUUUUAUUCAUUUUUUUCUUUUAAGGAUCAUGCUUUCUGUGUCCUAAGAAUUCUUUGCCUAACCCAAGGUCACAAAGAUUUUCUUCUAGAAGUUCUGUAGUCUUAGCUCUUACUUUGGGUCUAUGAUUCAUUCUAACUUAACUUUUUCAUAUACUAAGA
RNAcentral lists this long non-coding RNA (655 nucleotides) under Equus caballus (horse). RNAcentral describes it as "lncRNA (ENSECAG00000058052.1)". The record is from RNAcentral. Lineage: Eukaryota; Metazoa; Chordata; Mammalia; Perissodactyla; Equidae.